Molecule: transfer RNA, 73 nt
Filed under: Opitutales bacterium
Lineage: Bacteria; Pseudomonadati; Verrucomicrobiota; Opitutia; Opitutales
Also listed under: 1 other name
Description: tRNA-Trp
Rfam family: tRNA
About the family: Transfer RNA (tRNA) molecules are approximately 80 nucleotides in length.
Source: RNAcentral
AGGGGAAUAGUUCAAUUGGUAGAGCAACGGUCUCCAAAACCGUGUGUUGGGGGUUCGAGUCCCUCUUCCCCUG